CCUACGGGAGGCAGCAGUGGGGAAUAUUGCACAAUGGGCGCAAGCCUGAUGCAGCAACCCCGCUGGAGUGAAGAAGCCCUUCGGGUUGUAAAACUUCUUUCCUUAUGGGAGGAAAGACAUGCCGGUACCGUAGGAGGGAGCCGCGGCUAACUACGCGACAGCAGCCGCGGUAAU
RNAcentral lists this ribosomal RNA (174 nucleotides) under uncultured bacterium. Its description in RNAcentral is "partial 16S ribosomal RNA". It matches the Rfam family "Bacterial small subunit ribosomal RNA", at positions 338 to 524 of the family's 1533-position model. The record is from RNAcentral.